Molecule: long non-coding RNA, 832 nt
Organism: Ctenocephalides felis (cat flea)
Lineage: Eukaryota; Metazoa; Arthropoda; Insecta; Siphonaptera; Pulicidae
Exons: 9
Source: RefSeq, a predicted model, not a curated record
CCCAAUUCAACCAUCAACGCACCGAAUAAACAACACACCGACCUCUUCAUCAGGGACCUCUCUCUAAUUACAGAAUUCUUCCAAUUCAACCAUCAACGCACCGAAUAAACAACACACCGACCUCUUCAUCAGGGACCUCUCUCUAAUUACAGAAUUCUUCCAAUUCAACCAUCAACGCACCGAAUAAACAACACACCGACCUCUUCAUCAGGGACCUCUCUCUAAUUACAGAAUUCUUCCAAUUCAACCAUCAACGCACCGAAUAAACAACACACCGACCUCUUCAUCAGGGACCUCUCUCUAAUUAUAAAGUAUGUAUCUGUCUAUACAUUAAUGCCUGCAUCGCUAAUAUGAUUCUUUUCUUUACAGAUUCUCCCAAUUCAACCAUCAACGCACCGAAUAAACAACACACCGACCUCUUCAUCAGGGACCUCUCUCUAAUUACAGAAUUCUUCCAAUUCAACCAUCAACGCACCGAAUAAACAACACACCGACCUCUUCAUCAGGGACCUCUCUCUAAUUACAGAAUUCUUCCAAUUCAACCAUCAACGCACCGAAUAAACAACACACCGACCUCUUCAUCAGGGACCUCUCUCUAAUUACAGAAUUCUUCCAAUUCAACCAUCAACGCACCGAAUAAACAACACACCGACCUCUUCAUCAGGGACCUCUCUCUAAUUACAGAAUUCUUCCAAUUCAACCAUCAACGCACCGAAUAAACAACACACCGACCUCUUCAUCAGGGACCUCUCUCUAAUUACAGAAUUCUCCCAAUUCAACCAUCAACGCACCGAAUAAACAAUACACCGACCUCUCCAUCAGGGACCUCUCU